UAGGGAAUCUUCCGCAAGGGACGCAAGUUUGACGGAGCAACGCCGCGUGAGUGAAGAAGGAUUUCGGUUCGUAAAACUCUGUUGUUAGAGAAGAACAGCGCAUAGAGUAACUGUUAUGCGUGUGACGGUAUCUAACCAGAAAGCCACGGCUAACUACGUGCCAGCAGCCGCGGUAAUACGUAGGUGGCAAGCGUUGUCCGGAUUUAUUGGGCGUAAAGCGAGCGCAGGCGGUCAAUUAAGUCUGAUGUGAAAGCCCCCGGCUCAACCGGGGAGGGUCAUUGGAAACUGGUUGACUUGAGUGCAGAAGAGGAGAGUGGAAUUCCAUGUGUAGCGGUGAAAUGCGUAGAUAUAUGGAGGAACACCAGUGGAGAAGGCGACUCUCUGGUCUGUAACUGACGCUGAGGCUCGAAAGCGUGGGUAGCAAACAGG
This 429-nucleotide ribosomal RNA is filed under the name Bacteroidota bacterium. RNAcentral describes it as "Bacteroidetes bacterium partial 16S ribosomal RNA". It matches the Rfam family "Bacterial small subunit ribosomal RNA", at positions 355 to 776 of the family's 1533-position model. The record is from RNAcentral. Lineage: Bacteria; Pseudomonadati; Bacteroidota.